GCAGUUCCCCAGGAAACAGCUUCCGGCAGACACUCAAUCUCCAGUUGUAACAGGUGGUGUGGAGUCCGCUGUCCCAGGGAGUGGGCUCAAGGCCUAGUCCUGCCAAUGAACUUGCUGUAGAAACUUUUCUGUCUAUCAAAUGAGGUUGGAAUGCACUGGUGCAAUAAUUGCUCACUGCAGCCAUGACCUCCCAUGCUCAAGCAAUCCUCCCACCUCAGCCUCCCACGUAGCUGGGACUACAGGUGAGUGCCACCAUACCCGACUAAUUUUUGUAUUUUUUGUAGAGAUGGAGUUUUGCCAUGUUGCCCAGGCUGGUCUCCAACUCCUGGGCUCAAGUGAUCCUCCGACCUCGGCCUCCCAAACUGCUGGGAUUACAGUCUUGAGCCACUGCACCCGGCCUAUUCUCACUUUCUGAAUGGCUUUGGGCAAGUCACAAUCUCUGUGUGCUUCAGUUUCUUCUCUGAAGUGGGAAUGGCAAGCUGGACACCCUGAGCGUGUGUCUGUAGUCCCAGCUUCUGGGGCUGAGGCCAGGGGUUCAAGGCUAUAGUGUGCCAUGAUCACUCCUACGAAUAGCCAGUGCACCCCAACUCGAAAAAAAUUUAAAAGACCAGGCAUAGUGGCUCACACCUAUAAUCCCAGUACUUUGGGAGGCCAAGGUGAGAGGAUCACUUGAGCCCAGGAGUUGGAGACCAACCUGGGCAACAUAAUGAGACUCUGUCUCAUUUAUAACGACAACAACAACAAAAGGUAAAAAAUAAACAGUGGGGGCUCAUGUGAGAAAAGCUAUAAAAACAGAGAAUAUUGGCUGUUAAAUAUUGAUGUUUGCAGGUUGUCAGGAAAGGAAUCUUGUAGAGAAUAUAGAACUCCUGGCCCCUUUCCUAAAGGUUCUGAUGCAGUGGGUCUGGCAUGGGGCCAGGCCUCUGUUAGCAAGGGCCCCAGUGACGUUUAUCAGUUAGCGAAUUUGAAAAUCACUGUCUUAGGCCGGGCGCGGUGGCUCAUGUCUGUAAUCUCAGCACUUUGAGAGGCCGAGGCAGGUGCAUCACCUGAGGUCAGGAGUUCCAGAUCAGCCUGGUCAACACAGUGAUACCCCGUCUCUACUAAAAAUACAAAAAAUUAGCUGGGUGUGGUGGCAGGCACCUAUAAUACCAGCUACUCGGGAGGCUGAGGCAGGAGAAUUGCUUGAACCCGGGAGGCCGAGGUUGCAGUGAGCCAAGAUCAUGCCACUGCACUCCAGCCUAGGCAACAAGAGUGAAACUCCAUCUCAAAAAAAAAAAAAAAAAAAAAAAAGGAAAAGAAAAUCACUGGCUUGGGAGAAAUUCCAAUUCCUGACUUUGCCCCUUAUACCUGAACAAGUCAUCACACUUCCAUAAUCCUGAUUUCCUCAUCUCUAAAAUAAUAAUAAUAUGGCUGGACACAGUGGCUCACACCUGUAAUCCUAACACUUUGGAAGGCCGAGGCAGGUGGAUCACUUGAGGUCAGAAUUUCGAGACCAGCCUGGGCAACAUGGUGAAACCCUGUCUCUACUAAAAAUACAAAAUAAUUAGCCGGGCGUGGUGGCAGACAUCUGUAAUUCCAGCUACUCGGGAGGAUGAGGCAGGAGAAUCGCUUGAAUCCGGCAGGCAGAAGUUGCAGUGAGCCAAGAUAGUGCCACUGCACUCCAGCCUGGGUACCAGAGCAAGACUGUCUCAAAAAAUAAAAAAAUAAAUAAUAAUAAUAAUAAUAAAAAUAUUACUAACCUCAGUGGUUCCUAGUAGGAGUUGACGACGGUUCUCAACCGAGGGUGAUUUUUUUUUCCCCAGAGGAUAUUUGACAAUGUCUGGAGAAAGUUUUGGUUACAACCAGGUGUGGUGUUGCCCCUGGCAUCUGUGAAUGGAGGCCAGGGAUGUUGCUAACCAUCAGACAACACACAGGACAGCCCCCGAAGCAAAGAAUGAGCCAGCCCAAAAUGUCAGUAGCGCCAAGGUUGGGAAACUCUGGGUUAAACUUAUUAAUGCACCAUGUGCUCUCAGGAGGGUAGAGGCCAAGAAGCAUUUUCUGUUGACUUAGCACAAACAAAGUUGCCCACAACAUAAAGGGCUUUCCCAGUCCAGGAAAAUGGAGUAAAGUGCUGGGUGUGAAGAAGGUCAGAGCCAGAGUGAGACCCAUUGUUCUGCAUGAGAGGGGGUGGGGAGAGUGGCAGUGACGCCAGAAAUCUCUGAGUGUGACUCACUGAGAGAAGCCAGCUGGAUGGCAGGGUUGCCAGAGCCUUUGUUCCAAGCUGCAUUUGAGUAGUGAGCUUGAGGUUUUUCCACAGAAGCUUCUCCAUUUCCACCUUUGCAAACUCUGGACUCCAAGGACGCAAGAUGGCCGGAAACAAGAUGGUGGAGCAUGAAGGCCCUUGCCAGAUGACAGCACUAUGCCCUUGGACUCCCCAGCCUCCAUAACCAUGGGCCAAAUAAACUUCUAUUGUUUUAAAUUGCCCAGUCUGUGGUAUUCUAUCAUAACAGCACAAAAUAGACUAAAACAAUGCUCUACACUGGCUGCCAGAGUUCCCUGAUGGGAUUGUGCUCCAGUUGUCCACAGUAGUAACUUGCUGGAUAAUACUUCCUGUUUCCGCAGGCUUCUCUUCUCUGUCUCAUUCCCUCAAUCCCCUAAUGGUGCUUUCUGGGAUCAUCUCCCAAAUAAUCCACUUGCACCUCAAAUCCUCAUCUCAGAGUCUGCUUCUGAGGGAGCCCAAACAAAGGCAUGAAACCUUUCCCAUUCCCCAGUCUCAGUCUAUAUGGUUAAAGUGGGCCUGAACCCCAUUCUAGGAUGGGUCAGACUCAGGUCUGACCAAUGACACCACCAUACCUCUUUUAGGUACAGGGAUGGUUCAGGGAUGACCAUUUGAACUCAAAC
This 2877-nucleotide long non-coding RNA is filed under the name Homo sapiens (human). RNAcentral's name for it is "non-protein coding lnc-B4GALT5-2:3". Lineage: Eukaryota; Metazoa; Chordata; Mammalia; Primates; Hominidae. The record is from RNAcentral.